Molecule: unclassified non-coding RNA, 309 nt
Filed under: uncultured Archaeospora
Lineage: Eukaryota; Fungi; Glomeromycota; Glomeromycetes; Archaeosporales; Archaeosporaceae
Description: sequence contains ITS2
Rfam family: 5.8S ribosomal RNA (bases 1-52)
Source: RNAcentral
AACGCAUAUUGCACUCUUUGGUAUUCCGAAGAGUAUGCCUGUUUGAGGGUCAUUUGAAAAUUAAUCAAGUUUAAUCUCUUGGAAUAAUGAGUUUUCCGCGUUAUCAUAUCAUCGUCGUAUGGUAAUUGGUCACUCGAAAUUAAUGUCAUGUCUUGGCUUGUAACAGACGCGUUUAUUUUAAAUGUUCGCAACUAAUCAAGUCUUGUGUAAUGGCAUGUUUAAUUUUUCCCUUUUAAAAGAGGAAGAAAUCGAACAAACAACCAAAUUAAUCGUGACCUCAAAUCAGGUAAGAGUACCCGCUGAACUUAA